AAAGUUUGUCGCUUCUUCACCUAAAACCACAUGGGACAAAGCCCUGAGUACGAAGUGUACUUUCGCAAGACUUACCCGACAAAAUAAAAGACUCUCAAGGAUAUGCUGGCUUUAAGGGAGUCAAGGUAAGGCUCAUCAAUAAUCAAUGACUCUGUUUGCAGAAAUGCUUACUAAUAGUGGAUCCUUAAAAAUCCAGUUUUAUUUGUCAGGUUAAGUAAAAUUACCUGCAACUAGGGUUCUCUCUAUCCUAAUUCAUUCACUUGACCUAUACUAGCCAAUUUCUUAACAACCCUUCAUCUUCACUGGAUUGCUACGUGUAAGUCAGUGACCAAGUCUUCAUAACCGCGAAGUUACGGCGAUCCGAAUCAAUUGUAGUCAGCUGAGGGUCUCCAAUCACACGACAUAUGUAGCACUUAACCCUUGCAUAUGUCAACUCGCCACCGGGGUUCUUAAGACCAGAUCAGGUUCACGCCAACCGAGAGCACAGAUACACCACCGUCCAGCCUCUUGCCACGGAGGGUACUCGCUACUCUCGCCAUCUCUCCACUCCCAUUGUGUGGUAUCUUAUUCUAGUAUUAGUUUGCCCAAGGCAAAGCUUACCCAUGACGAGGCAUGUGACCAGUUAAAGGGUCCUCGGUCAGCAGGCCUACAUCGACAUGGUCCUUAAUCGACUCAGACGGAGAUACUACACCGAGACUCUCUUCUCGUGCAAGUCACCCGCCCGAUCUUAGCUUUAUCAUUUCAAACCCAAAGUUCGGUACCUGGCAGAGGUACAUCUUUUCCGAUGUUGAACCCAUCAUGGCCAUGAUGGAUUCACCAUCAAGUUUUGUUUUUGAAAACAUCCCUCCCACUUUGCAAUAUCAUCUUUUGAGAAAACAAAAGAUUUUGUUUUUCUAAAGCGAAGCUAAGCAUAAGAAAAACCUUUUGUAAAACAGGGAUUUAAGGAGAAGUAAUCAAUUCAAGGAAGGAAAUGCAGGAAUUGGUUUAGCACACAACUCCUAUCACCUAGUGCAUCAAGCAAGUGAGAAAGAUUUAAAAAGAACAACGAGGUGGCAAAUGCAUCGGGGCUUGCCUUGUGUUACUGGUGAAUCAGGCUCUGUUCCGCAGAUAUCAAAAUAAAAACAGUUGCCCGCCUGAUGUUCCUCAGGUGGUGGUGGUGAAGUCUUUGCUUCUUCGACUUCUACUUCUUCUUCGUUUUCUAAAUAUAACCAUACAUAAUAAUGUAUGCCCAUGUAAUGCUCAUGAGAGUGCAAAGAUAAUAAAAGUUUAUUAUCUAAAGUCUUGAAUACAACUUUCCUUCAUGGUUCUCCGAGAACUUAGGGUUUUCGGAGUCUAUAGUGAAGUUCACAGGGCUGGGGGGCUAGGGUUUUGGGUUCUAAGUAUCAAAUAUGGUCCAAAUCAUAUCCAACUUUGCCCAAGGCCUCUAAAUAUUAUAUAGAGUUUACCCUAAAAGUUUAGUGAAUUUUGGAUUUAUUAUUUAUUCUCUAAAAAUCCAGAAGCAAGGUCUUAGGCUGUUUUAAAUACUCUAUAAUUUCCUGUUUGGAUUAAAAAUCCUAAAACUAUUUUUAUUAAAUUCUAUGGAAAAUUAGAAACCUAACAAAACUGGUUUCGUAUUUUUAUCAUUUUUCUACAAUUUUCUAGAAUUGUUUUAGCUCUAGUAGAAAAGGAAAAAGAAAAACUAUGAAUAGUAUUGGACCUAAACUGGCCCAAGUCAGCCCACGACAGAAGGAAAGCGCCCCCGCGCAGGCGCCCGUGUAGACUUUGCACCAAAGACCCUGUCCUUUUGAAUAACCUAAACUAGGUUCACAACACUAUUCAUCCAAGUCACUGACGCUUUACAGAAAUCUCCCUGCACUUCUAAUUCUUCACUGCGCCAGGUCCCCGACGACGAACGACGCCGGGCCGCGCUCCGGUGAACUCUCACCGGCUGAUUCACGCAAUGACCGGUACCCUAUUUUGGCUGAGGCCAAAUUCAAGACCUAAUGAUCGUUUCCCCUAAACUAAUUUCACUAAUGGUGCACUGAAACGUCCUGACCAUGGUGACCGUAUGGACAACGGAUGAACAUGGGCGUUCUUGGUGACCCAGGACGGUCUAGUUCAAACAGAGGGGUCGAGGAGCUGAGGAGGACUUAAGGAUGCUAGAACAAACGACCAGAGCGCUUGAACGAACCUGGAGCAAGCUGGCCACGGCGAGGGCAAACCGAGCGGUGUUCUUGAGUGGGUUGGGGGAAAUGCGAAAUUGGAGCUCUCUGGUGGAGGAUCUGAGGUGCGGGUGGGUGCGCUAGCUGCUUGAAUACAUAACGAAGUCGAUGAUGCACUUAAUUUAUAGGCUUCGGGGGCGGUGGCUCUCAAUUUGAUCACAGCGUGCUGGCGGCCGGAGAUAGGGAAGAAUACGAGUGGUUGUGACCGUGGCGUUCACCGGUGCAACGACGCAAGGAUAACACUCCUAAGGGAGCCAUGAUUAGUAUCGCAUAGUAAUAAGUUAUGGCGUGGCACAACCGGGGUAACUGGAGCAUCCACGGCGACGCUGGUGGUCCAGCCACGUCGCGACGGCUAUCGGCACAGUGAUAAACUUCAAUUCGCGAUCAAAUCCAUUCCCCCGUGAGAUCUUUUACCUUCCCGUGGAUAUCCUCUGCGCCAAGCACGAAUCACGGCGACCAACGCAAAUUCGGACGCGCGGAUCGCCGGCGGCGAGGGACUGAGCUGGCGGCCUGAUCCAAUCACUGUACCAUCACGAAGUGUAUUUAGUCGGUCUGACAGAGCAAAUUCAAGGCAGCUUCUCUCCAAUUUUUAUGUGACAAUCUCAUAAUUCAUCUGUAUCAAAGCUAUAGAUCUAUAAUCCAUGUUCGCUUUUGCUAUAGCAACAACCACCAAUCGAGCAACGGAUCUAGCUCAAAAUGGCUCACAAACCUAGUUCUAGGCCAAUGUUAGUCUGAUUUCAGACUCAAGACAGCCUGACAGGUCAACUUGGAGUCAAAUUUUCUCCAAAUUUCUUAUGUAACCCAAGCAUAAUCUCUGUAGCAAAGUUGCUCCCCUUACAUAGUUCUACCAAUUUGAUGUACUGACCUAGGGCAAAAUCCUUAUGGUUUGGAAGUUACAAGGCCCCAAAGUUGAGCCAAUUACACUGAAUUUCAGACUUAGUUCCAUAGGGCUUAAGUGGUACUUUUUGCAAAUAGGUCCAAUUCACAACUUUUGACUUAGGAAUCCUCAAAUAUGUGAACUUUAUGACUUUAGGUAUCCUAAUACCAUGGUUUUUGCACUUUAGUCCAAAAGUGCACUAAUUUUGCACUUAGCCCCCUAGGGUUUAAGUCUAGGGCUUUCCAGGGUUCUUUUUGGAGUUUUUGGGGUUUCUAGGGUUUAAAUACCAUGUAUGUCUAUUCAUGGUGACAUUAUAUGGUUAUUUCAAUUGAGUUUUGAAGUUUUCUCCUAUUUAAGCCUUGUUUGCUCUAUUAAGCCCAAUCUAGGGUUGGGUACCCAACUCUAGAGUUUCAUCCACAAAAUACAACUUGUUGGAAUUUUUUGCCUAGUGAAUGCAUUCUAGGUGUGACAAACACAUGAUAUGUCAAUGCUUAUGAUGUUAUGCUCAAGUUUUAGUGGCAGUAACACUAGGGGUGUUUCAGUAGAUGGCGAGCGGCGAUCUGAAAUGCACGGUACAACCAAGCGCUCAGGCGCUACCACCAGCGGUUUGUACAUAGUAGGGAGCUCAGGGUCGAGGACCUAGUCCUAAGGCGAGUACUGAACUGAGAAGGGCUCCACAAACUCUCUCCUAGUUGGGAAGGACCCUUCAAGGUGACGGAAAUAUGCCGACCCGGGUGUGUCCGCCUUGCCACAACAGAAGGUGUACCUCUUCCCAAUCCAUGGAAUAUAGCGCAUCUCCGUAAGUUCUAUCGAUAAAAGCAAAACUGGGAGGUUGAGUUUUCUUCCUUUGUAACUAGGUUGCACAUAUGUGUACGUCAAUCCGGUGAGGCCCGCCCUCGUAAGCCCGGUCUAUUGGUCUACACCCAUGUAUAUCAAGUUAUAAGGAAACGAUUUACCCCCAGAUGUGCUUUUGUGAUGGUUUUAUUCUACUUCAGUUUACAAGCAUUAUUUUUUAUCUAAGCCACCCAUACAGUUUCCCACCCUUGCUGGUAUGAGGACAUCCGAAUUGAGUAGCCAGGCUUGCAGUUUAGGACCCCUCUGCUGCUGCAGGGUGUCCGGCAACCUGGGGUCCAGUUCUAGAGAAUGGGCACUCGUCCCCUAGAGUGGUCCAGAGCUGUGUACCUGCUUAGCAUGGUUCCAUACCCUAAGCCUGCACGCUCCACCACUCUGCAACAGGUACCCUAGUAUUUGGAAUUGUGAUCCUGUGGGUCUGGGCAUACGGCUUGGCUUCCCAAGUUAAAUCCUGCAGAUCAUGUUGCAUGAAUCAAAGGAUGAAAGAUACCAGAUGCUGGGUCCUAUGGGUGUGCUCCUAAAACUUCAAAGCCGAAGCUAUGUGCAGGUCCAGGUCCCAGUCCAGAGGUAGGUAGUCUCAAACUGUAGAGACUACCUCCUAGGGGUUGGGCCACCAAUUUUUUUCUUUGGUAUACUAGUAUCCAGCCUCAACACAUCAAGCCUACCUCCCAGGGGGCCAAGUACCAGGUGGAAGUUGAUGACGCUACACAUAACAAGGGCAAAUAACAUAUAGAUAAGUUCCAGUGCUACUUGAUUAACGGAUAUUAAAAUGUGUUACAUGGCCAAAAGUUAUUACGGUCGCCCCCCAGCGGAACCCUCGCCUUAUCUCUACAGGUUCAGCUACUCGGCGUCGACAGGAUCACGCUGAAAGCGCGCGGCCACCAUCUCCACUACAUCUUGUACACUCUCCCGGACGACAUCUUCUGUGGCGGCUACCGGACCAUCGAUCACCGACGCCAAGGAUAUGGCGGGGUCGUGACUCCGGAAGCACGUUAGGACGUAGUCCACCACCGCUCGACAGAGCUUGCUGCCCUCUGCCUCCAGGCGGGCACCGAGGAUCUGAUCCAGGCGUCGGAGGCGAUCAGCGGUAGAGUCCAGCACCGGGAGGGCAUCGGAGAUCGACACUGGCGGCUCCGACACUGGGAUGGGGCUCAUCCCUAGUGGCACCAGUGUCGUGCUUGCCUCGCCGACCCACUCGGUAAUGCGCUGGACCUCGGCGCGAUGUUCUGCUUGGAGAUCUUCGAGGGCCUUUCUGGUGGCCUCCAUUGCCUGGGGACCCGGCGCCGCCUGCACCGCAUCAAACUGGUGGAUUUGCUCCUCCAGCUUCCUCUCCUUUUCCUCAGCUUCGAGCUCAUGCUCGGCCAGCAACUCACUUCGCCGGACGAGCAUUUCUUCCCUGAAGGUGAGAUCUGUCUCUCACCUAGCCAGAUCCGUCUCCCGCCUGUCCAAGGACAGCUCCUUCUCCUUAAGGUUUUCCUCGGCGAGGGCGACGUCGCUAGCCUUGCCCUCGAGCUCUUGCUGCCAUUUCUACAGCCUCUCCACGGCGUUUACCUGCUGGGCCCGCUGGGCUUCCAAAGUCUUGUCUAGAGCACUCAGUUUGGCCUGGUACUCUGUCGUGAGGGCCUCCCUCUGGGUCGGCUUCCUCCCUCCUGGCCACUUUCUUCUCCCUCCGGGUCACCUCCAGCUCCCUGGCACACACCCUCUAGAGGUCUUUCUUGUACUCCUUGUGGUCCCGCUCGAGUUGGGACCGCUCGGAGGUGAACUGUCAGGACACCGUCUUGGUGCGCUCCUCCAGUUGGGUGCGCCAGUCACUGAGGUGCUGGUGCUCAGCUUCAAGUGCCUCCCACUCCCGCAAGAAUGCUGCCUCAGUUUCACUAAGAACCUAGUGGGCAUGGGACAGCAUGCGGGGGAGGGGGACUGGCGUCGCUUCUCGCUCGGCACCCGACCAGAGUCGCUGCCCAAAUACCACCUCCAUCUCCUCCAGAGCAGGCGAGGGGACAGAGCUAGACGCGCCCCCUGUGUCACCCCUAGUGUUGGGAGUGAGCGCAGAUCCCUAGCUGGGACCUUCUCCGCCGCUGUGACGCUGCCUGACGCUGGCGCCACUACCGCCGGAUCCCUAGCUAGGGCAUGGGAGGUCGGUGGCGCUGUCCUGGCAGCAGCUGGGAGCGGACCACCGGCACCACCCUCAGUGGAUCCCUGCUACUGAGAGCCAGACCCGUCGAUGGGCCUGGUAUCUGGCGAAGGAGGCGUGGCCUUGGGAGCAGCGGAGGAAGAAGCCCUGGCAAACAGAUGAUGGGUUAAGACUUGUCGGCAUGAUGAUUAGGCACGUGGAAAAAGGAACUACACUUACUUGGGGCCCUGGACUUUCUAGUGACCCUGGAAGCGAGGUGAUUGCCGCUCCUGCUGCUGUUGCUGCACUGGUUGUGGCUGCUGCUGAUGUGGCUGCUGCUACUGCUGCCCCUCUUGCUGUUGUUGCUGCUGCUGGUGCUCCUAGGGGUGAUCACCCCCGGAUGGUGGUGGUGGCAGUGGGAUCAGGGGACUAAUGCGCCUCUGCGCGUCAUGGGCCUGGGAGCUAGCCUCCUUGGUCCCAUCUACAGCCUUAAAGCGCUUCUGGGCAGGCUCCGAAACAAGCGACUCGUCAGUGCGACGCAACCUGCGUCGCCUCUCCUCCCCCGACCCCCCGGAGCUACCUGGGGCGGAGGCACUGCUUGCAGCCCCUUUGCCCUUGUCCAAGGGGCUGGGGGCCAUGGCGGGAUUGGCACUGGGAGCCACACCGAUGGGCUGGGGACCCCCAGCCGGUGCACCAGAGAUCUGGAUCCCGUGGAGGGGGUCCCGGCUGCCGGUCUGAAGAACCGCCACGCCGCUGUCAUCAAGGGUCAGCAACGUGGCCAGGAUCGCCAUCCUCAGGCCUAGGUCAUCACAAAGCACCGUGAUGUCCUAGGGGAGUAUCAAGGAUUCAGGGACAAAAGUCUCCCCUGUAAUCCCCCCACCAGGAGUUCCAGCUCGUCCUAGGACAGAUCGGUACCCGGCCUGCGCUGGAUCCUAAAGAUGUCGUUUGGGCCGGUGAACCAGCAGGACAGGCGUGGCCUCCUCUACAGCGGCAUGAUCUGGCGCUUCAGGACAUCGCCGACCACGUGCAUUAAUGUCUGGCCGCCCGUGGCCAAGACCUUAAUCCUGUCCAAUACGGACAGGAACUCUGGCGAGAGGGGUGGCUUGGCCCUCCAUUGCUUGUGGUUGAGUGCUGGCCCAUUGGUCGGUAGGUUGAGGCGGUCAUUGGCCUCGGUGCUGGCGAUCACCCAGUCGCUGCGCCAGUUUUCCCACCUCGCACCACCAAAGGUGGGGAUGUAGACUAUGGCUGGAUCUGGCCUCAUCUGAAAGUAGUAGGCAUCGAUGUGGUCCCUAGUCUUCCCAGACCUGACCAGCACGAAGAAAUAGCGGAAGAGGGAAGUGCAGGGGGCCACACCUACAAACAUCUUGCAGAGGUGGAUGAAGAUUGCUGCCUGGAGGAUGGAGUGGGGCGUGAGGUGUUGAAGCUGAAGCCCGAACUCCUCUAGCAGUAGCAGGAAGAAGGGCAAAAUUGGCAGCACCAACCCGUAAGAAAUGUAUGAGGUGAACAACACAAACUCCCCGGCGGCGAGAUCGCCAAGGGGGACAGCGCCGGCACAGAUCCUUCUGGCGAGCCUUGGAGCGCUCCACCCAAGCAGGCCACGCACCAGAUUGAGCUCCUCCUCAGCCUGAAAGCGAUCAGGAUGACCGAGCGAAGCCAUGGCGUGUGCGGCGGCGCGGGCGUGGAGCAGAGGAGCACGAAGGCAAAGGGGCGCAGCCGAUUGGGAGAGAACGCAAAAUGGUAACUUCUGCACGCGGGGUGAAUCCUUUUUCAGGGAAACAUGAAUCCUUUUUCAGGGAAACUCUCCCGCGUGCCCCUGAAAUGCCGCAAGAAAUCCCGUUCGAUGGGCACCUAGGACCCAGGCCGCCCAGUUUGUGACACGGGGGCCCGGGUCCACAAGUCAUACAGUUUGGGUGCCAGAUUUCUGGUGCGGAAAGAGCGGGGUGUGAACUGCCACACGCGAUAGCGCGCCUCCUUGGGGCCACUGCAGAAGACAAAAGGUUAUUUUUAAACCAAUACAACGGCAAUGAGGCGCCCCGCGGGUGACCCGACGAAACCACCAGGCGUGGGGAGCCGUGGGUCAGUUCAGCCGCAGGGACAGAUAUGGCAGUUGAUGUGACUGAAGGUGGAUUGACAGUGGGCGCGUCAGCAGACGUGCUAAAACAGCGCGGCAAUCACCAAUCAGGCCAUGUUGAGGCAAAGUAAAAGCUUUGAUCCCACCUGCAGGCUCGCAUCCUCCCCUAAGGUGGGCCCGGGGGCCACUGUCAGUACCUGAAACUAGGGUACCCCUUACUGUUGUAUAAAAACGCAGUACCCAUGCGGCUAUUUUUAGUCGUGUGGUAAAAGAGUUGUAUGUGGGACCAGGCCAUGACUCAUCCAAGCCUCGGGCGACUACUAUGGGACAGCAACAGCACCUAACCCCACCACAUGGGCGGGUCUGGUGCCACCACGUGUCCAGAGAAAGUGACAUACUCUGAGGCAUCACCAGUGAGUCCAAACCCCCAUGGGAAGGUGCUGGAUCCCUGUAUAUAUGGUCCGGGCCUCCAAGUUUGGUCCAGGACCUCCACGUGUGCGAACUAGACCCCUGGAAUGGGAUCCGAACCCCCCUGUAUGGGGUCCGGGCCGCCCACAGUGGGGUCCCAGGGUUCUAGGUCAAAACAUGCUCGGGCCUUAAUCAUGACCCAGGCGGGGGUCCGAAGCCGACAUGUGUCCAGACCUGAUCUGGUGGGAUCUGGACCUUAUCACAUACACUCCUGCUCCCCGCCUAGGCGGAGACCCGAUGCUGCCACGUGGGCUACUGCACGUGGCGUAAGCCAACAAGCGGAACCUGGCAUGAAGCCUCUGGGCUACACGCGUCUUUGCAUUCAUUACGGAUAAGACGUGCGCCUGUCCAUUCCAGUGACAGGCGACGUGCCCAGUCCACGCUGCGUGGGCCGUGCUGUUACUCACACGUUACCAUAGCAAGGACAAUGACUCACCAUUACUCGCGCGUUUCCAUGAAAAGGGUCACUGCCUAUCAAUGCUGCAUGGACUGCAGCCAUCAUGACUCCCGCUGAUUACUCAUGCGUUACUAAGGCGGAGGGAAUCUGAACGGCUCCCUUGUUUAAGGUUUAGUCAGCAUUAAUUAUUCACAUAAUGUAUUCCUUCCAUUAUGCUCCUGGGCCCACAUGUCGAAGCUCAGCAUCCUUGUAUGUACCUCCCUUAAACUAUAAAAGGGAGGGGACACAACAUUACAAGGGACACGGUCAAUACAACUUACGGACAGUGGAUGUAGGGUAUUACGCUCCAGCGGCCUGAACCACUAUAAAACCUCGAGUGUUCUUGUGUUCAUCCCAAAAUUCACCAAACAGGCAAGAGCUUAGGCCCCCUCCUCAUCUUAGGACUAGGACGGGUGCAUUCUGCCACCCGGCCGAAGGAUUUUCCCACCGACAGUACUGCUGCUGCUACUAAGAAAACUGCCUCUAGUACUGGUGCUGGUGCUAACACUGAUGCUGGUGCUGGUGACCUUGCUUGAAUUGCUGUGGCGAGUUGCCUGAGUAGCAGGGACGACUGCUACUCCCAGCCUGAGGUCCACCAAUCUUGCGCUUCCUAUCCUCCAUCUCUCAACGCUUCCUUUCUGUCAUGAUUGCUCUGUCUAUCAAGUGCUGGAAGGUGGGGAAAGUGUGGUUCAUCAACUGAUAAUGGAGGGGAUCAACCAAUCCUCUCAGAAAGCGGUACUGCCUCUUGGCAUCCGUGUUAACAUCUUCUAGGGCAUAACGUGACAGCUGCAGAAACUUAUCCCUGUACUCACUGACGAACAGGGGACCUUGCUUCAGGGCGAGAAACUCCUUCCUUACUAUCAUCAGUCCCUCGGGCACAUGGUAGCGACGGAAGUUGUCCCUGAACUCCUCCCAUGUGAUGGCUUCAGGGUUGGCAUGGGUGGCGAGGUAAGACUCCCACCAAGACUAUGCUGCUCCCCUCAUCUUUCGGGGACCAUACAACACCUUUUCAUGAUCGUUGCACUGGCCAGUGUGCAACUCACAUUCCACGGUACGUAGCCAAUCUUCCGCAUCCAUGGGGUCAACAGAGUGGGCAAAGACAGGGGAUGGCCCCUCAUGAACUCUACCCUCUUGUCUCUGGGCACUUGCAGCAUCUGAACUUGCACUGGAGGCUGAGGCGGUGGUGGCUGCUGCUGCACCUAAUGCAUGGCUGCUAAGGUCUGACCAAUUGCCUGGACUACUUGGGUCUGCAUCAAGAACAUUUGCUCAAUAGUCAUCGGGGGUGGCAGUGGCAAAUGCUGUUGCAGGGCUGCCUCCUCUUGGGGUGCCUGCUGUUCUGGCUAAGCAUGCCUCGCCACCUCUGCGCCUGUUCUCAAACAUCUGUAGAAAUCACACCCAUAUAUCAAAUUUGACUCUGUAGUCUUUCAGCAUAAGAAAAUAUGUACAGAAAUCUUCAUAGCACUGAACAAUUGAUGACCUUCACUGACAACUUCUCAGAUAAAGAGGAAAGUGGAACUAAAUGGAUUACCCAACUAAAUAACUGACUUUAUUAAUAACUACACCAAGUUGUAGGGGAUACCCACAGCUUGAUGACAAUCAUUACAAAGAUCCAAAUUCAGUACAGGUCCAUCAUAACAAGCAUCCAACAUAAGAUAAGCAAACUAGCUCUAACUAAGACUGCCUAGACUAAGACACUAAACUAAGCAUUAUUACAGACUCUGACUCUGUCGAUCUAGGGAUCCAAAUCUAUACGGGUCCUGUAGUCUGGGGUACCAUAGUCGAAGCAACCACGAGGCGGUGAACGGUAAGGGUGCUGAAUCCCGACAGGGGCGGGAGAACCACCAUCCAGAUAGUGGCGUGCCGUGCAUUCAACACGCAAUUCCGCAGCCUCCGCCCGAACCUUGCCCAACUCGUCAAGGGCAUGGUCCAACUCUGUUUUGAGCACGGCAGCCAAGUUGACCAUGCUGUUCAGCCUGGGAUUGCCCUCACCAACUAGCGAAGCAAUCACACCUCCAGCACUGUCGGUCGAACAACGAGGGUAGUACUUCAAGUCGAGGCCAUAAGCUACCUCGCUGAACAACGAGCAAUACUGAGAAAGUGCCCGUCGUGCUGCAUCUUGCAUGGCUGCCUCUGCAGUGUCCCUCUCAGUAAUAGAAUAGUGCUCUGAGAAGGCUUCUGCACCACGGAGAUCAUCGUCCGGAUGGCGCACCAAACAAGUAGCCUCCCACUGGUCUGGGUAUAGCCCGCGAUGAUGCUGGUAGACUACACAACGGUACUCGAUAGACCAAGUGUGUCGGUCGAAGGCCUGACGCAACAGGGUAUCGAGAGCAUCGUGGAAGUGACACCCGUGAGCGGUGUCACGAGUGAUGGGUCUAGCGAUCCAUCCCUCCGGCUCCUCCGAGAGCUCCGUGUCGUGGCUCGAACUGCCACCGACGUCGUCAUCGUCUUCGUCUCUGUCAGGGUCUCCUCCAGCAGCCGGGAUGCCCUGAGGUGGUGCAGGGGGCAUCUCUGGCUAAGGUGCAGGGUAAGGCGGCCUCUCAGACUCCACCUCUCGCUGAGGCGAGGGGGAAGAGUCCUGCUGCUCCUGCUCCUCCUCCUGGCGUCAGCGCUCCUCCUCGUGCAGGCGACGAUGCAGUCUCUCUAGGUGGCUGGACUGACCUGACACCGUGCGACGCAGUGGACGCUUCGCCAAGCGAGAAGGCAAAAAGGGGAUCACAGACUUAUGUGUGGUGCACCUAAGAUGAGCCAUCUACAAAAGACAUCGUAAGCUCAAGAGUAAGAGUAGAACUAUGAGACCAGAAAGUAAGCAAAAAGAAAAGUGAGACAAAACUUUUUGAGAUGAGUAAAUAACAUAGAGUUUGUCAAGAUGACCAACUUUUGAAAAGACACUAAGGUCAAGGUAAGAGUAGGGGUCUAUAGUCCUUAGGUCGACCAUUCUAGUCUAGGUUAGUGGUCCUACAGUCAGCAAGGCUUUGAUACCACUUAUGUCACACCCGGUUUUUGGAAGGUAAAACGAAUGCGAACCAUGUACGUGCCAGGAUCAGAACUCACGUACACAGCGAUUACAUAAUUGGACAUCAUCACACAAUGCUUGACUUAAAUAGUGGAAAGGUACUUAGUUACAUCAAGAUGUCCAAGACAUCCACAGAGUCUAAUACAUAACCAUUGUUCAACAUAAAUAUCAAAGUGCAAAAUUACGAAACAUAGAAUGUAAGCCUACAUAGGCAGCUGACUGGGGGUUGUCACUAAGAAAGAACUAGAACUCGUUAUAUUCCUAGAACUCCUCAAAGUCAUCCAUGUUGCCAACUUCACCUCCUGAGCACUGAGAAUAGUGGGGACAACCUGGGGUGGGGUGGUUUGUAAAGCAAGGGUGAGUACACUUCAACGUACUAAGCAAAUGUCCCAUUUGGCUAAAGUGGACUAGCUGUAUGUGGAGUUUAAGGUUAAGCAGUUGCUUUUAGUUGGUCAAGUUUUAUUAUUAUAAGUAGAGCCAAAUUUUAGUAAUAACCCAGUUAUUACCCAGAGGCACUCCCUCCAAGAGGAAAUACCAGAGAUCAGGAUUAUAAUCACCAUUGUUAAUCAUCAUCAUAAAAGUAACCAUUGUUCUUCUAAUUGAAGAGGAUCCCAAGGCUGCUCAUAACCGCGAGCACGGCUGAUAUACCAGUUUCUAACACUUUGCAGAGGUUGCACACUUUACCCACAAGCCGUGAUUCCCAUUCAGCUCAGGGUUCUAGCCUCCCCAUUGAUCACUACCAAGGUGACCUAGCAGGGUCUCACUACGUAGCCUUUACAAAGAUUUCCCAGAGGACAUAGCCGCCCGUUAGGUUUCUCCAGUUUGAUAAACACAGUACAUCUCCCCAAAGGAAGGGUGACUAACAAAACCAAAUGAAAGAACCUCUACAACCAACCUCGGCAGAGCAAGUACUGUGCCCAGACCCCAUUGACGGCCCUACGGCAAAGCCAACUAUUCCUCUGGUUGCUCUAAUUAAUCAGCUAAGGGUGUCCCAUUCCACCCUCAUGGUUGCACUGUUAUCUCGGGUUGUCACUCCCCAAAUAGGUCCUUACGGAGAGGUACUCAGGAAAGAGCCUGAGCCCCCUAAAGUAAUCACAAGGACCCCAUUGGGAUAACAUCAUUGUAUCAUAAAAGAUCACAUCAUGUUCAUUGAUUAAGUUUAAGCAAUAGCAUAAGCUAACCAUGAUUAACCCAAAAAGGUAAACAAGGGUAAGGGAAAUACAAACUAGUCAAUCCUUAGGUUCCAAUAAUGUAAUGCGGGACAGUGAAUUAUAAAGUAAAGUAGGACAUGAUAGGUCUAAGGACACUUGCCUUCACCAGGUUGUUGCUUAGGGAGGUCUCCAACAACACACUCAGGAACCUCGUACUGCUCGUUGUCUAAGUAAAGCGAGCAUACAUUCAAUACAUUUGGAGAAGUAUAAAUGAACAUCACACCAAACAUGUACAAACAUUGGAAUACAUCUUAAAAAGACACAAUACUACAUAAGGGAUAAUGAGUCCAAAGUAUAACAUGAACUAUAACAUAAAUUAACUUUAUUUGAAAAUAGAUUGUUAUUUCCCUAAAUGUUAUUUACAAGUACAUAAUCAUAGAUCAAUUUAUUUUAUUGUGACCUAUAAUUUAGAACAGAGGUAAACUCAUGUAAUACACUUUAUUAAUCUCUCAAGCUUACACAUGUUUAAAUCUCUAAGGUUCUCCUUUUAUUUAUUUUAUUAAAUAAAUAAAACUACAUCUAUAUUAGUUCAUAUUCAAUCAUAAAAAUUAGAAUGUGCAGACAGUAAGUGAAACCAUUUUAUUUAAACAGAGAAUAAUUCUAUGAACAUUUUGCAAUUUGAAUCACUAAAUUUGGAGUUCAUAUGCAAAAGUUAUGAAAUAAACAAAUUUGGGAAUUCAAAAUAUGAAAUUAGGUCUAAUUCUGUGAAUAUUUAAAAGUCUAGGGCUAAAUCUGCAAGAAUACAGGGGUCUGCCUGUGAAAACCAGGGACAACGGGUUUAUUUCUAACAAACCGAGGGUUUCUUACGCAAAACAACCACACAAAGGGGUAUCAGGUGAAUCUAACCGUCGGCUCUAAAAUCAACGGCUGAGAUUAGAUCUGCGGCCGAGGGCGCGCGCGCGGGCGGGCGAGUGCUGACAGGCGAGCCAGGGAGUGUCAGCGACAGAGGGGGAGAGUGCGCUAACCGAGCGGGCUCAGCGCCAGGGGGUUUGGGCACUGACAGGCGGGCUAGGGCGCCAGGGCGCGCGUGCGCGAAGCGGUAUCCUGCGGUCUGGGCCUUCGAUCUGGAUCAGGCAGAGGGGACCAGACCAGGGAAGGAUGAGUGGUCCAGGCCGUGCGAUCAGGAUUGGACGGAGGGGAUCAGGCAUGCGUUCGCGAAGCGGUACCCGUUGUCCGGGCUGUGCGAUCAGGAUCGGACGGAAGGGAUCAAACCGGGGGGGUUGAAUGGCUGCGGGCGGCGCUGCUCCUCUCCGCGGUGGUGGGGUCGCUGGAGUUGAGGCAGGCAUGAGCUAGGGGGGUCCGAGGUCACCGGAGUUGGGCAGAGAGGGAGAGGGCUCCACAACGAACUCAAUGGCGGGGAAGAGGCCAUGAAUCCACGGGCAGAGAGGGUAGAACGGUGGUGAGAAGGCCUCGGGCGGGUCGGAGAAACUCCGUUGAGCCAUUCCGGCCACGGGGAGGGGUCCUAAGGUGCGCUAAGGCCUUGGCUAACUUCAGCAGAGGCAGGGGCGACACAGGGACCUACUCCGGGGAACUAGACCGGGCUAAAUUGGCCGGUCACCGCGCGAGCACGACAAACUGCCACGACCGAGCACCAGCGAAGGUGAAAUUGACUGAACACAAGGCGCAAUAGGGGAAAUUAGGCACGGGCAAAGGUGUCUCACCUCGGGGCUGAGCUCGGGGAGGCUUGGAGCGGUCUCCGGCGAGCAGGAUGGCCGGGAACGCGGGUGCGGGUCUCCUGCGGCGGCUGGCGGCGUGAGCAGAGCACGAGAGAGGGUGAAGCUGUGCGAAAUGAGGUGAGGGGUAUGCGUGGGGCACUUGCGGGGCUCUAAGAAGGGAGCAGGGCGCAUGGGUGGGCGUCAUGGCCGAGAAAUCUGGCGACGUGCGCGAGUGCGCACACGCCGGUCCAUGGCGAGCACGGAGGGGGCGGAACUGACAGGUAGGGUCCACAACGCAGAGAGAGGAGAAAGGGGCGUGCGGGGCAACGACUUGACGACUCGCGGACCGGGCCCACGAGACAGAGAGAGAGAGAGAGAGAGGGAGAGCGCGGGCGAAGGAAACUGGCGCCGACAGGCUGGCCCCACUGGGCAGCGAACGAGAGAGGGAGGGCACGGGCGAGGGAGAACUGUCGCUGACAGGCGGGGUGUGCCUGUCAGGCGGCAUGGGCGCGCAGGCGUGCGGCCAGGCUGGGCUUAAUGGGCCGACUGGGUUGCUUUCUCUUUUCCUUUUUCUCUGGAUUUUCUAAUUCCUUUUCCAUUUCUUUUUCUAUAGAGUUUUCAAAUCCAAAUUCACACUAGGUUUCAAAUUCAAAUAAAUUCACACUUGUGCAACACUUCAAAGAAUAUUUUAAGCUCAGCAUGAUGCAACAUGUUAUGACCCAUAAGGUUUUGGCAAAAAUAAAUAAUUAACCUCCACUAGUUUAAGCUAUUUCUAACCGAAAGGAAAAAAGAGAGAAAGAAUCUAGAGAGAGAGAGAAACUAGAGUGAGAAAAAGAAGAGUAACACAUGAUUUUGGGUGAUAAUUAGAAAGAAAUUUUAUACCCCAAAAUCAAGGUGUUACACUGGCACUCGGCAAAGUUUGUGCCGAGUGCCCGCGAAAAUGUACUCAGCAAAGAAGGCUUUACCGAUGUACUGUGUGCCGAGCCCUCUUUGCCGAGUGUUUUUCAGGCUUUGCCGAGUGCUUCAGGCACUCGGCAAAGCUGUCGAUUCCGGUAGUGAUUACAAUGGGUUGUGAACUAAGCGCAGUUGAUAACAAAUUAGUCAUACAUACAUAUUUGUUGAGGCACCAAAAUAUUGGUCCUAGAGACCGCAAAAGGUGGCAUGUCAGAACUAUAGAGAUAUGCCCUUUUAUCUACCAUGUUUGAUUCAGCAUGGAGAUCUUGUUUGCAUCAAAAGAAAGUUCAGGGGACUUUAUCAAGCAAAUAUGCUUUACAGCGGAUUAGGCUAAAGUUUGCAAAAGAUAGCGUGUGAGAAGCAAGCAAAUUUGGUGUUUUAAACAACCAUCUUUAGUUCUCUUGGACAUCAUCAUCACUGCUUUGGAUAUGUAAACAUCCUUUUCUUAACCUGCAUAUUUUUUUAAAGUAGUAAGUAAUUGUAGGCUUGAAUCAGGUCAGUAUAGAUCGAUGUAGAGGUUAAUGUAGGAAACAAUUUAUGAGAAGGUAAAUAUGUUAAUCUAAAGCAAAGUAAAAAAGAAAUAAAGGUUCUUGUAUAUGAGCAUCACAAAAUGUUUGUAUCUUCUUUAAGUGUAUCUUGCAUGGUACGUAAAACAGAUGCAUGCAACAUGGUAUGGUUUCGUUCUGUGUUGAUCAUAGUCUACAAACUUCUUAGUAGCAGCUGGAACUCAUUUAAUGGAGGUGUAUGAAUGGUGAAAGGGAAUUAGGCUUACACCUAUUUCCUAAACUAAUUUUGGUGGUUGAAUUGCCCAGCACAAAUAAUUGGACUAGCUAGUUUGCCCAAGUCUAUAAGUUAUACAGGUACCAAAGGUUCACAAUAAGCCAAUAAAAAGACCAAGAAAAGGGUUCAACAAAAGGAGCAAAGGGACAACCGAAGGUACCCUGGUCUGGCGCACCGGACUGUCUAGUGCACCACCGGACUGUCCGGUGUACACCGGACAGUGUCCGGUGCUCCAGGAAUGAAGCGACUCUGAACUCGCCAGCUUCGGGAAUUCGCAACGGCUACUCCGCUAUAAUUCACCGGACAUGUCCGGUGUACACCGGACUGUCCGGUGUAACAGCGGAGCAACGACAACUUCAGCGCCAACGGUCACCUGCAGGCGCAUUAAAUGCGCGCCAGAGCGUGCAGAAGUCAGGCACGCGCGAACAGGCGCACCGGACACUCUACAGUGCAUGUCCGGUGCGCCACCGGACAUCAAGGCGGGCCCAGCGUCAGAGCUCCAACGGUCGGAACCCUAGCGUUCGGGUGACGUGGCUGGCGCACCGGACAUGUCCGGUGUGCACCGGACUGUCCGGUGCACCAUGCGACAGACAGCCUCCACCCAAACGGCUAGUUUGGUGGUUGGGGCUAUAAAUACCCCCAACCACCCCACAUUCAAGUCAUCCAAGUUUUCCACCUUCCAACCACUUACAAGAGCUAGGCAUUCAAUUCUAGACACACUCAAGUGAUCAAAUCCUCUCCAAUUCCACACAAGGCUUUAGUGAUUAGCGAGAGAGAUUUGCCGUGUUCUUUUGAGAUCUUGCUCUUGGAUUGCUUCUUUCUUUCUCACUUGUUCUUGUGAUCAAAACUCCAUUGUAACCGAGGCAAGAGACACCAAUUGUGUGGUGGUCCUUGCGGGGAAGUUUUGUUCCCGGUUUGAUUUGAGAAGAGAAGCUCACUCGGUCCGAGGGACCGUUUGAGAGAGGGAAAGGGUUGAAAGAGACCCGGUCUUUGUGACCACCUCAACAGGGAGUAGGUUUGCAAGAACUGAACCUCGGUAAAACAAAUCCGCGUGUCACACUCUUCAUUCGCUUGCGAUUUGUUUUGCACCCUCUCUCUCGGACUCUUUAUUAUUUCUAACGCUAACCCGGCUUGUAGUUGUGAUUAUAUUUGUAAAUUUCAGUUUCGCCCUAUUCACCCCCCCCCCUCUAGGCGACUUUCAAUUGGUAUCGGAGCCUGGUGCUUCAUUAGAGCCUAACCGCUCGAAGUGAUGUCGGGAGAUCACGCCAAGAAGGAGAUGGAGACCGGCGACAAGCCCACUACAAGCCACGGGUCGACUUCAUCGGAAGAGUCCCGCAACAAGAGGAAGGAGAAGAAAAACUCCUCCAACAAAGGGAAGGGGAAGGAGAAGAGAUCCUCUUCCCACAAGUCGCAUCGGAGAGGCGACAAGCACAAAAGGAUGAGGAAAGUGGUCUACUACGAGACCGACACUUCAUCAACGUCGACCUCCGGCUCCGACGCGCCGUCCGUUACUUCUAAGCGCUAAGAGCGCAAGAAGUAUAGUAAGAUCCCCCUACGCUACCCUCGCACUCCUAAACAUACACCUUUACUUUCCGUCCCAUUAGGCAAACCGCCAACAUUUGAUGGUGAAGAUUAUGCUAGGUGGAGUGAUAUGAUGCGAUAUCACCUAACCUCACUCCACAAAAGUAUAUGGGAUGUUGUUGAGUUUUGUGUACAGGUACCAUCCAUAGGGGAUGAAGAUUAUGAUGAGGACGAAGUGGCCCAAAUCGAGCACUUCAACUCCCAAGCCACCACUAUACUCCUCACCUCUCUAAGUCGAGAGGAGUAUAACAAGGUGCAAGGGUUGAAGAGCGCCAAGGAGAUUUGGGACGUGCUAAAGACCGCGCACGAGGGGGAGCUCGGUCGCUUCCGUCUUCGCCACGGGGAGGAGCCACAAGACAUGUACAACUGGCUCAAAACCUUGGUGAACCAAGUGCACAACCUCGAGAGCAAAAAAUGGGAUGACCACAAAGUGGUUAAGGUUAUUCUAAGAUCACUUGUUUUCCUUAACCCUACUCAAGUUCAAUUAAUUCGUGGCAAUCCUAGAUAUACUCAAAUGACCCCCGAGGAAGUUAUAGGUAAUUUUGUGAGCUUUGAGUUGAUGAUCAAAGGAUCAAAGAAGAUCAACGAGCUUGACGGCCCCUCCACAUCCGAAGCACAACCGGUCGCAUUCAAGGCAACGGAAGAAAAGAAGGAGGAAUCUACUCCAAGUCGAACACCCAUCGACGCCUCUAAGCUCGACAACGAGGAGAUAGCGCUCAUCAUCAAGAGCUUCCGUCAAAUCCUCAAGCAAAGGAGGGGGAAAGACUACAAGCCCCGCUCCAAGAGAGUUUGCUACAAGUGUGGUAAGCCCGGUCAUUUUAUAGCAAAAUGUCCACUAUCUAGUGACAGUGACAGGGGCGACGACAAGAAGGGCAAGAGAAGAGAAAAGAAGAGGUACCACAAGAAGAAGGGCGGCGAUGCCCAUGUUUGCCGGGAGUGGGACUCGGACGAGAGCUCCACCGACUCCUCCUCCGACGAGGACGCCACAAACAUCGCCGUCACCAAGGGUCUUCUCUUCCCCAACGUCGGCCACAAAUGCCUCAUGGCCAAGGAGGGAAAAAGGAAGAAGGUAAAAUCAAGAUCCUCCACCAAAUAUGAAACAUCUAGCGAUGAGGAUAAUGCUAGUAAUGAGGAGGAUAACUUGCGCAUUCUUUUUGCCGACCUAAACAUGCAACAAAAGGAAAAACUAAAUGAGCUAAUUAGUGUCAUCCAUGAAAAGGAUGAUCUCUUGGACUCCCAAGAGGACUUCAUAAUCAAGGAAAAUAAAAAGCAUGUUAAGGUUAAGAAUGCUUAUGCUCUAGAAGUAGAAAAAUGUGAGAAAUUAUCUAGUGAGCUAAGCACAUGCCAUGACACUAUUGCCAACCUUAGAAAUGAAAAUGCCAAAUUAAUUGCUAAGGUUGAUUCUCAUGUUUGUGAUGUUUCAAUUCCCAAUCUUAGAAAUGAUUAUGAUGAUUUGCUUGCUAAGAUUGAAGAAUUAAACAUCUCUCUUGCUAGCCUUAGGGUUGAAAAUAAAAAAUUAAUUGCUAAGGCUAAAGAAUUAGAUGUUUGCAAUGUUACAAUUUCUGAUCUUAGAGAUAACAAUGAUAUUUUGCGUGCUAAGAUUGUUGAAUUUAAUUCUUGCAAACCCUCUACAUCUACCAUUGAGCAUGUUUCUAUUUGCACUAGAUGUAGAGAUAUUGAUAUUGAUGCUAUUCAUGAUCACAUGGCUUUAAUUAAACAACAAAAUGAUCAUAUAGCAAAAUUAGAUGCUAAAAUUGCCGAGCAUAACUUAGAAAAUGAAAAGUUUAAAUUUGCUAGAAGUAUGCUCUAUAAUGGGAGACGCCCUGGCAUCAAGGAUGGCAUUGGCUUCCAAAGGGGAGACAAUGUCAAACUUAAUGCCCCUCCUAAGAAAUUGUCUAAUUUUGUUAAGGGCAAGGCUCCCAUGCCUCAGGAUAACGAGGGUUACAUUUUGUACCCUGCCGGUUAUCCCGAGAGCAAAAUUAAGAGAAUUCAUUCUAGGAAGUCUCACUCUGGCCCUAAUCAUGCUUUUAUGUAUAAGGGUGAGACAUCUAGUUCUAGGCAACCAACCCGUGCUAAAUUGCCUAAGAAGAAAACUCCUAGUGCAUCAAAUGAUCAUAACAUCUCAUUUAAAACUUUUGAUGCAUCUUAUGUGCUUACUAACAAAUCUGGCAAGGUAGUUGCCAAGUUUGUUGGGGGUAAACACAAGGGCUCCAAGACUUGUGUUUGGGUACCCAAAGUUCUUGUGUCUAAUGCCAAAGGACCCAAAACCGUUUGGGUACCUAAAGUCAAGAACUAAAAUUGUUUUGUAGGUUUAUGCAUCCGGGGGCUCAAGUUGGAUCAUCGAUAGCAGGUGCACAAACCACAUGACAGGGGAGAAAAAGAUGUUCUCCUCCUACGAGAAAAACCAAGAUCCCCAAUGAGCUAUCACAUUCGGGGAUGGAAACCAAGGUUUGGUCAAAGGUUUGGGUAAAAUAGCUAUAUCUCCUGACCAUUCCAUUUCCAAUGUUUUUCUUGUUGAUUCACUAGAUUAAAAUUUGCUUUCUGUAUCUCAAUUGUGUCAAAUGGGGUACAACUGUCUAUUUAAUGAUGUAGGUGUCACUGUCUUUAGAAGAAGUGAUGAUUCAAUAGCAUUUAAGGGAGUGUUAGAGGGUCAGCUAUACUUGGUAGAUUUUGAUAGAGAUGAACUCGACACUUGCUUAAUUGCUAAGACUAACAUGGGUUGGCUCUGGCACCACCGACUAGCUCAUGUUGGAAUGAAGAAUCUUUAUAAGCUUCUAAAGGGAGAGCACAUUUUAGGAUUAACAAAUGUCCAUUUUGAGAAAGACAGGAUUUGUAGCGCUUGCCAAGCAGGGAAGCAAGUUGGUGUUCAUCAUCCACAUAAGAACAUCAUGACGACUGACAGGCCACUGGAGCUCCUACACAUGGAUCUAUUCGGCCUGAUUGCUUACAUAAGCAUCGACGGGAGUAAGUACUGUCUAGUUAUUGUGGAUUAUUAUUCUCGCUUCACUUGGGUGUUCUUUUUGCAGGAAAAAUCACAAACCCAAGAGACUUUAAAGGGAUUCUUGAGACAGGCUCAGAAUGAGUUCGGCUUAAGGAUCAAGAAAAUUAGAAGCGACAACGGGACGGAGUUCAAGAACUCACAAAUUGAAGGCUUCCUUGAGGAGGAGGGCAUCAAGCAUGAGUUCUCUUCUCCCUACACCCUACAACAAAAUGGUGUAGUGGAGAGGAAGAAUCGAACUCUAUUGGACAUGGCAAGAACCAUGCUUGAUGAGUACAAGACACCGGAUCGGUUUUGGGCCGAGGCGGUCAACACCGCCUGCUACGCCAUCAACCGGUUAUAUCUGCACCGAAUCCUCAAGAAGACAUCCUAUGAACUCCUAACCGGUAAAAAGCCCAAUAUUUCGUAUUUUAGAGUUUUUGGUAGCAAAUGCUUUAUUCUUGUUAAAAGAGGUAGAAAAUCCAAAUUUGCUCCUAAAACUGUAGAAGGCUUUUUACUAGGAUAUGACUCAAACACAAGGGCAUAUAGAGUCUUUAACAAGUCCUCAGGACUUGUUGAAGUUUCUUGUGACGUUGUGUUUGAUGAAACUAACGGCUCUCAAGUAGAGCAAGUUGAUUUUGAUGAGAUAGGUGAAGAACAGGCUCCGUGCAUCGCGCUAAGGAACAUGUCCAUUGGGGAUGUGUGCCCUAAGGAAUCCGAAGAGCCUCCACAUGCACAAGAUCAAUCAUCCUCCUCCACGCAAGCAUCUCCACCAACUCAAAAUGAGGACGAGGCUCAAGUUGAUAAAGGAGAAGAUCAAAGAGUUGAGCCACCUCAAGAUGACGGCAAUAAUCAAGGGGGAGAUGCAAAUAAUCAAGACAAGGAGGAUGAAGAACCAAGACCACCACACCCAAGAGUCCACCAAGCAAUCCAACGAGAUCACCCCGUCGACACCAUCCUCGGCGAUAUUCAUAAGGGGGUAACCACUAGAUCUCGUGUUGCACAUUUUUGUAAGCAUUACUCUUUUGUUUCCUCUAUUGAGCCACACAGGGUAGAGGAAGCACUACAAGAUUCGGAUUGGGUGAUGGCGAUGCAAGAGGAGCUCAACAACUUCACGAGGAAUGAGGUAUGGCAUUUAGUUCCACGUCCUAAUAAAAAUGUUGUAGGAACCAAAUGGGUCUUCCGCAACAAGAAAGAUGAGCAUGGUGUGGUGACAAGGAAUAAAGCUCGACUUGUGGCCAAGGGAUACUCCCAAGUCGAAGGUUUGGAUUUUGGUGAAACCUAUGCACCCGUAGCUAGGCUUGAGUCAAUUCGUAUAUUAUUAGCCUAUGCUACUUACCAUGGCUUCAAGCUUUACCAAAUGGACAUGAAGAGUGCUUUCCUCAAUGGACCAAUCAAGGAAGAGGUCUACGUUGAGCAACCUCCCGGCUUUGAAGACAGUGAGUACCCUAAUCAUGUCUAUAGGCUCUCUAAGGCGCUUUAUGGGCUCAAGCAAGCCCCAAGAGCUUGGUAUGAAUGCCUUAGAGAUUUCCUUAUUGCUAAUGGUUUCAAAGUCGGCAAGGCCGAUCCUACUUUAUUUACUAAAACUCUUGACAAUGAUUUGUUUGUAUGCCAAAUCUAUGUCUAUGAUGGGGGAGUUAAAGUAUUUCUUGGGAUUUCAAGUAAAGCAACUCCAAGAGGGCACCUUCAUUUGCCAAACAAAGUACACUCAAGACAUUCUAAACAAGUUUGGGAUGAAGGAUGCCAAGCCCGUCAAGACUCCCAUGGGAACAAAUGGGCAUCUCGACCUCGACACAGGAGGUAAGUCCGUGGAUCAAAAGGUAUACCGGUCGAUGAUAGGUUCAUUGCUUUACUUAUGUGCAUCUCGACCGGACAUUAUGCUUUCCGUAUGCAUGUGUGCAAGAUUCCAAGCCGACCCUAAGGAAUCUCACCUUACGGCCGUAAAACGAAUCUUGAGAUAUUUGGCUUAUACUCCUAAGUUUGGGCUUUGGUACCCUCGGGGAUCCACGUUUGAUUUACUUGGUUAUUCGGAUGCCGAUUGGGCAGGGUGCAAGAUCAAUAGAAAGAGCACAUCGGGGACUUGCCAGUUCUUGGGAAGGUCCUUGGUGCCUUGGGCUUCAAAGAAGCAAAAUUCGGUCGCUCUUUCUACCGCCGAAGCCGAGUACAUUGCCGCAGGUCACUGUUGUGCGCAAUUGCUUUGGAUGAGGCAAACCCUGCGGGACUAUGGUUACAAAUUAACCAAAGUUCCUCUUCUAUGUGAUAAUGAGAGUGCAAUCCGCAUGGCGGAUAAUCCCGUUGAGCAUAGUCGCACUAAGCACAUAGCCAUUCGGUAUCAUUUUCUUAGGGAUCACCAACAAAAGGGGGAUAUUGAGAUUGCAUACAUUAAUACUAAAGAUCAAUUAGCCGAUAUCUUUACCAAGCCACUUGAUGAACAAACUUUUACCAAACUUAGGCAUGAGCUCAAUAUUCUUGAUUCUAGGAAUUUCUUUUGCUAAUUUGCACACAUAGCUCAUAAGUAUACCUUUGAUCAUGUCUCUUUGAUAUAUGCUAUGACUAAUGCGUUUUCAAGUGUAUUUCAAACCAAGUCAUAGGUAUAUUGAAAGGGAAUUGGAGUCUUCGGCGAAGACAAGGCUUCCACUUCACUCUAUCACCCAUCCUUCGUCGUCGCUCCGAGCAUCUCUCCAUCUUUGGUAUAAUCUUCACUCCUAUGUUUUAUUUGCCAAAGGGGAGAAAGUAGUUAUCAAAGGGCUUAUAUUUCACUCUAAGUAUCCGUUUUUGGCGAUUCAUGCCAAAGGGGGAGAAAGUAUAGCCCAAAGCAAAAGGACCGCACCACCACCCUAAUUUUAAAAAUUAAUGAUUUUCAAUUGGUAAAUUUCAAAUUGGUCUCUCUUUGUGUUCUAAAGGGGGAGAAAGUAGUAUUUUCAAAAAUUGAUGUCAUAAAACCCUCUUGAACACUAGGAGGAGAAUUUAUUUGAGGGGGAGUUUUGUUUAGUCAAAGGAAAAGCAUUUGAAACAAAGGGAGAAAAUUUCAAAUCUUGAAAAUGCUUCGCAAAAUCUUAUUCAUUUACCUUUGACUAUUUGCAAAAAGACUGUGAAAAGGGUUUACAAAAAGAAUUUGCAAAAAACAAAACAUGUGGUGCAAGCGUGGUCCAAAAUGUUAAAAAUGAAGAAACAAUCCAUGCAUAUCUAGUAAGUAAUAUUUAUUGGCUCAAUUCUAAGUAACCUUUGCACUUACAUUUUGCAAACUAGUUCAAUUAUCCACUUCUAUAUUUGUUUUGGUUUGUGUUGGCAUCAAUCACCAAAAAGGGGGAGAUUGAAAGGGAAUUAGGCUUACACCUAUUUCCUAAACUAAUUUUGGUGGUUGAAUUGCCCAACACAAAUAAUUGGACUAACUAGUUUGCCCAAGUCUAUAAGUUAUACAUGUACCAAAGGUUCACAAUAAGCCAAUAAAAAGACCAAGAAAAGUGUUCAACAAAAGGAGCAAAGGGACAACCGAAGGUACCCUGGUCUGGCGCACCGGACUGUCCGGUGCACCACCGGACUGUCCAGUGUACACCGGACAGUGUCCGGUGCUCCAGGAAUGAAGCGACUCUGAACUCGCCAGCUUCGGGAAUUCGCAACGGCUACUCCGCUAUAAUUCACCGGACAUGUCCGGUGUACACCUGACUGUCCGGUGUAACAGUGGAGCAACGGCUACUUCAGCGCCAACGGUCACCUGCAGGCGCAUUAAAUGCGCGCCAGAGCGCGCAAAAGUCAGGCACGCGCGAACAGGCGCACCGGACACUCUACAGUGCAUGUCCGGUGCGCCACCGGACAUCAAGGCGGGCCUAGCGUCAGAGCUCCAACGGUCGGAACCCUAGCAUUCGGGUGACGUGGCUGGCGCACCAGACAUGUCCGGUGUGCACCGGACUAUCCGGUGCACCAUGCGACAGACAGCCUCCACCCAAACGGCUAGUUUGGUGGUUGGGGCUAUAAAUACCCCCAAUCACCCCACAUUCAAGUCAUCCAAGUUUUUCACCUUCCAACCACUUACAAGAGCUAGGCAUUCAAUUCUAGACACACUCAAGUGAUCAAAUCCUCUCCAAUUCCACACAAGGCUUUAGUGAUUAGCGAGAGAGAUUUGUCGUGUUCUUUUGAGCUCUUGCGCUUGGAUUGCAUCUUUCUUUCUCACUUGUUCUUGUGAUCAAAACUCCAUUGUAACCGAGGCAAGAGACACCAAUUGUGUGGUGGUCCUUGCGGGGAAGUUUUGUUCCCGGUUUGAUUUGAGAAGAGAAGCUCACUCGGUCCGAGGGACCGUUUGAGAGAGGGAAAGGGUUGAAAGAGACCCGGUCUUUGUGACCACCUCAAAGGGGAGUAGGUUUGUAAGAACCGAACCUUGGUAAAACAAAUCCACGUGUCACACUCUUCAUUCGCUUGCGAUUUGUUUUGCGCCCUCUCUCUCGGACUCUUUAUUAUUUCUAACGCUAACCCGGCUUGUAGUUGUGAUUAUAUUUGUAAAUUUCAGUUUCGCCCUAUUCACCCCCCCCCCCUCUAGGCGACUUUCAAAUGGUGUUAGCACAUGAUAGCAAGAAGGAUACUAACGUUUGUCUAUAUCUCAGUCCUUGUAGUUGGUAGACAUUUGGAUUGUAUAGGAAUUUUUAAUUUGGAUCCUAUUUCUAGAAGGUCCAAUUUGGUGUAUUUUUUAGAAAUUCCUAAGUUGUUACCUAGAUUCUAUUUGGUGCGGUUAUCUGCGACUACUUAUGGCAGCAUGGAACUUGUGUGUGGUAGCUUCUUUGUAGAUUGUAGUAUUUUGAUUAACUGCAUUAUCAGUCAUAUUGUCAGGUUGUAUGUCGGCACACAUUCAACGUUUUUAUACCUAAAGCUCCUUCUUGAUGCUAAGUGUAGUAAGGCGCUAUUGUUAGGAAGUUCUGCAGAUGGAUGACUUCUGUAACUCUUAGGGGUUUUGGAGCAAGUGAAAUGGAGAUUGAGGGGGUUAAAAUUGCUUACUAAGAUAAACAUAUAGAAGAUGCUACCUCCGUUCUCGAAUAUUUGUCACCAGCUAGUUCAUUUUUAAACUAAACCGCGACAAAUAAAAAAAUGAGAGUAUAUAUGUUUAGAAGCAUUACCUUUUCGGAGGAGAUUCGAUAAGGUCAUAUUGCCUUUUCCUUUGAUCUGACUUGUGUUCAUUGUUUGCUCCUAUAGAAAGAAAAUAUGGAUUAGUUUAAUGUACUUACUUUUUCUAAUAGAGUGAGUAACAGAUGUUAAUAUGUUUGUGGUUGUUUUUUUAUAUCAAGUGGAAGUGGCGUAUCUUUGUAAUUUUCACUUCGGCAUCAGAUUUGGGAGUAUGUUGAUAUGUGAGAGGGUUACUGAGCGAUGGAUAUGUCAGCUUCUUUGCAGCCUAAAAGUAAACAUUAUAUGACAUAAUUUAGCUGUGAGAUGUUAUAUAAUUAGGAGAAAAGAAGUAGUUUACUUGAUAGUAUGUGUGGCAUGAAUAGAAAGAAAAUACGUACAUGGAAAAGUACAUUGUGAAUGAAUUUGUAUGUAUUCAAUUAGUUGUUAAUGAUUCAUGUUGUUUAGAGUUGUAGCAACUAAUGACUUGAAAUUUUAAAAAAUUAAACAUGUGUGUUUUAGUGAGGAAUAAGUGAAAGAAAAAUAUAAAAUUGAUGGUGUGUGCAUUCAUAAACAUGUAUGAAGAAACAUAAUAAUAUAGAGGUGUAUGUGGCAAACAACAAUAAAAAAUGAAAUGAGAGUUCUUGUAUGUAAAUCCAGGAAGAGUGCGAACAAUGCAACUAAUGACUUGAAAUUGUAGAAGAGCUAUACAUAAAUGAUUGUGUAUAUAUUUUAGCAAGUUUCUCAUAUGUUUCCAAUAGUUGUUAAAUGGAAGCAUGAAUAGAACGUACGUAGACAUGAAAGCAUGUUCAUUAUGAAAGGCUACUGUUGUGAAAGAAAGAGCAGGUUACACUGAAAGAAUACCUGUUUUUUUGGUAGAAGACACAUAAUAUCAAAUUGAGCUAUCGAUGUUCAAAAGAGGUAAGUGAAAGAAUACUUAAAUUCUGAUGAUGCGUAUAUUUUUUUAAGAUUGAAUAUGUAUAAUGUGACAUUGUAGAGUUGUACAUGACCUAAAGAGAAUGCACCUGUUGUGCAUAGAAUUGGCAAGUUACGUUGUUGAAAUCAGCUUUUGAUGAUUCUAAAUAAUGAGCGAUCAUUUGGUAAACAAUAAGAAACAAAAUUAGUUAUGGUGUAUAGAGGUUAAGGAGUAGUGAGAGUAUAAGAAGGGAAUAUAUCCGGUGCAAAUGAGUCUUUGGUGCAUAUAUGUGCACAUGAACUAACAAAGUUCACAAAAAAUUUUAAAAAAAAAUUAGACAUAUUCUUUCCAUCUUACUCCAAUUAUAUACAAAAUUUCAAGUUCAAAUUCAUUAUACUUUAGCUAUAAUAAAAAAAGAUAAAAUUUCUGACAAGUUUAAAUUAGAAAAUCGGCUAAAAUGUUCUCCUUUUUAUUACAGCUAAAAUAUAACGAAUUUGAGCUUGAAAUUUGUAUAUAAUAAGAGUAGUAUGGAAAGAAUAUGUAUUAUUUUUUUAGAAUUUUUUUUGAACUUCGCUAGUUCAUAUGCAGCAAAGGCUCAUGUGCACCGGAUAUGUUCCCAUAUAAGAAACUAUGCAGGAAUGAUAUCCAUGUAUGUAUUUUGUGCAUCGAAGAAACUAUAUAUGUAUUUGAUGGAAGUUACAGUAUCAGAGAAAUCUGCAGGUUGUAUAAAUCAGCUAUUGAUGAUGCUGAAUAGUAAGUGAGUAUUUCAGAAACAAUAAGAAGCAAAGUUACAUUUCGUGUAUGCAAGUUGAGAAGUCAGAAACUAUGCAUGAAUCAUACCUGUGUAUACAUUUUUUUGGAAAGAUGUAAUGUGGUUAUCUCGGUGGCAUAGUUUAUAAACACACUAAAUAAAUAGGGCUAUAUAUCAAUUGUGAUGUUCUGGACAUCACUUUCACCAAUAUAUAACGACUUACGACUUAGAAACUUUACUGUUUUGUUGAUAAUCAGAUGGGACGUCCGUGUAUUAUUCUUGUUAUAAUUUGUCACAUCUGUACAGGUUGUAGACACGUAUAUGAGAAUUUGCAUUUCGGAAAAAGGAAUGAUGGGAAUGACUAAUUUUGUGCUCGUUCUUAGUUUAUGAUGACCAGGAAAUUUGCACGGCGGAGGAAGAUAGAAGAAAACCCUAAUACCAAGGCUAUACACUUUGUAGGAUGUUGUACCCGUAUUUGCUCAUGGACGAACACAAAAUCAAUUCAAAGCGGGCGAAGCGAGAAUGAAAACCUAAUCAGCUGGAACUGGACUGGGACUGUAUGGAUAAGAAAGCUAGAAGCAAAACAUAAGACCGACUACAUUCGCUUUGAAAAAUGUUCUAGCCGUUGUUGUGCAUCGAUGAGCAGGAAAUGGAAUCACAGUGCGCGAAGCAAAAUGGAAACCCUAACACAAAGGACAUACAAAUCCAAAAGCUUUUGUACCUGCAUGAGUCGGCAGCAUGUUGAGGAUUGGGCGCGCCGGAGAGGAGAGGAUAGAGCAGGGACGUGUGGGGAAGAAGAGACAGCAGAGGGCGCACCGGUACCAGGCCCAUCGCCGCCGACGGAGAAGAGAGGGUGACCCAUUGACCGUCUGUAACACCCUGGGCUUUAAGAGACAAAGCCGG
Molecule: long non-coding RNA, 28844 nt
Filed under: Zea mays
Lineage: Eukaryota; Viridiplantae; Streptophyta; Magnoliopsida; Poales; Poaceae
Description: long non-coding RNA (ZMAY_LNC001106)
Source: RNAcentral